AUUGAACGCUGGCGGCAUGCCUUACACAUGCAAGUCGAACGGCAGCACGGGAGCAAUCCUGGUGGCGAGUGGCGAACGGGUGAGUAAAGUAUCGGAACGUGCCCAGUCGUGGGGGAUAACGUAGCGAAAGUUACGCUAAUACCGCAUACGAUCUAUGGAUGAAAGCGGGGGAUCGCAAGACCUCGCGCGAUUGGAGCGGCCGAUAUCAGAUUAGGUAGUUGGUGGGGUAAAGGCCCACCAAGCCGACGAUCUUUAGCUGGUAUGAGAGGACGACCAGCCACACUGGGACUGAGACACGGCCCAGACUCCUACGGGAGGCAGCAGUGGGGAAUUUUGGACAAUGGGCGAAAGCCUGAUCCAGCCAUGCCGCGUGCAGGAUGAAGGCCUUCGGGUUGUAAACUGCUUUUGUACGGAACGAAAAGGACUGCCCUAAUACGGUGGUCCCAUGACGGUACCGUAAGAAUAAGCACCGGCUAACUACGUGCCAGCAGCCGCGGUAA
Molecule: ribosomal RNA, 500 nt
Filed under: uncultured bacterium
Lineage: Bacteria
Description: partial 16S ribosomal RNA
Rfam family: Bacterial small subunit ribosomal RNA
Source: RNAcentral